RNAcentral lists this ribosomal RNA (799 nucleotides) under Trichoderma sp. Its description in RNAcentral is "partial large subunit ribosomal RNA". It matches the Rfam family "Eukaryotic large subunit ribosomal RNA", at positions 84 to 913 of the family's 3401-position model. Lineage: Eukaryota; Fungi; Ascomycota; Sordariomycetes; Hypocreales; Hypocreaceae. The record is from RNAcentral.
UAACGGCGAGUGAAGCGGCAACAGCUCAAAUUUGAAAUCUGGUCCCUAGGGCCCGAGUUGUAAUUUGUAGAGGAUGCUUUUGGUGAGGUGCCGCCCGAGUUCCCUGGAACGGGACGCCACAGAGGGUGAGAGCCCCGUCUGGCUGGCCGCCGAGCCUCUGUAAAGCUCCUUCGACGAGUCGAGUAGUUUGGGAAUGCUGCUCAAAAUGGGAGGUAUAUGUCUUCUAAAGCUAAAUAUUGGCCAGAGACCGAUAGCGCACAAGUAGAGUGAUCGAAAGAUGAAAAGCACCUUGAAAAGAGGGUUAAAUAGUACGUGAAAUUGUUGAAAGGGAAGCGCUUGUGACCAGACUUGGGCGCGGCGGAUCAUCCGGGGUUCUCUCCGGUGCACUUCGCCGCGUCUAGGCCAGCAUCAGUUCGUCGCGGGGGAAAAAGGCUCCGGGAACGUGGCUCCUCCGGGAGUGUUAUAGCCCGUUGCAUAAUACCCUGCGGUGGACUGAGGACCGCGCAUCUGCAAGGAUGCUGGCGUAAUGGUCACCAGCGACCCGUCUUGAAACACGGACCAAGGAGUCGUCUUCGUAUGCGAGUGUUCGGGUGUCAAACCCCUACGCGUAAUGAAAGUGAACGCAGGUGAGAGCUUCGGCGCAUCAUCGACCGAUCCUGAUGUUCUCGGAUGGAUUUGAGUAAGAGCAUACGGGGCCGGACCCGAAAGAAGGUGAACUAUGCCUGUAUAGGGUGAAGCCAGAGGAAACUCUGGUGGAGGCUCGCAGCGGUUCUGACGUGCAAAUCGAUCGUCAAAUACU